AAUAACAACUACUAUAAUUAUCAAGUCACUUAUCUGGGAUUCCUGAAAACAAUUAAUGGAUUCCAUACCCACAAAAGACCAUUUAGCACUUACAGGUGAUUUACCUCUUUUAUGUGGUGAUGAUGAAGAACUUUUAAUUUUGUCACUGUCAAAACGUAAGAUUUCAACAACAUAAACACGGAAGAUCCAUUACAGACAUGAACUGAUGAAGGAAGAAAAGGGAAGGAAGGAAGAAAGUCUCAUUAAGUUUCCAAGAAAUCUGUAUCCAGAGAGAGCCACUGAGGGUAAUAGCAUAUUCACACUAAAAAUAAAUAAAUAAAUAAAAAAUAAAUAAAAAAAUCC
Molecule: long non-coding RNA, 342 nt
Filed under: Anas platyrhynchos platyrhynchos (common mallard)
Lineage: Eukaryota; Metazoa; Chordata; Aves; Anseriformes; Anatidae
Description: lncRNA (ENSAPLG00000026696.1)
Source: RNAcentral